Molecule: ribosomal RNA, 899 nt
Filed under: Nectamia savayensis (Samoan cardinalfish)
Lineage: Eukaryota; Metazoa; Chordata; Actinopteri; Kurtiformes; Apogonidae
Description: partial 16S rRNA
Rfam family: Bacterial large subunit ribosomal RNA (bases 192-899)
Source: RNAcentral
AGCCCAACAGCUAGCUCAACCCCUAAAAUACAACAGAUCACUAUACAUAAACCCUAAUAACUUAACAUACCCAAGACCAAAUCAUUUUUCCACCCAAGUAUGGGCGACAGAAAAGGACACACCGAAGCAAUAGCAACAGUACCGCAAGGGAACGCUGAAAGAGAAAUGAAACAAAUCAGUAAAGCACAAAAAAGCAGAGCUUAAUUCUCGUACCUUUUGCAUCAUGAUUUAGCAAGAAAACAUCAAGCGAAGAGCACUUUAGUUUGACUCCCCGAAACCAAGUGAGCUACUCCAAGACAGCCUUAUAGGGCGAACCCGUCUCUGUGGCAAAAGAGUGGGAAGAGCUUUGAGUAGAGGUGACAGACCUACCGAACUUGGUUAUAGCUGGUUGUCCAAGAAUUGAACAGGAGUUCAGCCUUUUGCCCUCUUCUCCCACAACCGGCUACAUUCUCAAGCCCCCAAGAGGACAAAAGAGUUAGUCAAAGGGGGUACAGCCCCUUUGAAAAAGAUACAACUUUCCCAGAAGGGUUAAGAUCAUAACAUUUAUUAAGGGGCCGUGUUCUAGUUGGCCUAAAAGCAGCCACCCACACAGAAAGCGUUAAAGCUCAUACACCCCCUCUCCCUAUUAUUCGGACCACCCCAUCUUACCCCCCUACAUGUAUUGGACCUUCCCAUACCCCUAUGGAAGAGAUUAUGCUAAUAUGAGUAAUAAGAGACCCAGACUCUCUCCGCGCACAAGUGUAUAUCGGAACGAACCCACACCGAAAAUUAACGACCCCAAAGAAGAGGGAAUUGUAACAUAAUGGCCAAGCCACUAGAAAAGCAUCCACACCUCAACCGUUAACCUUACACCAGAGUGCAUGCAAGGAAAGACUAAAAGGAAGAGAAGGAACUCGGCA